This 497-nucleotide ribosomal RNA is filed under the name uncultured bacterium. RNAcentral's name for it is "bacterial SSU rRNA". It matches the Rfam family "Bacterial small subunit ribosomal RNA", at positions 27 to 518 of the family's 1533-position model. The record is from RNAcentral.
GGACGAACGCUGGCGGCGUGCCUAACACAUGCAAGUCGAACGAAGCAUUUGGAGCCGAUCUCUUCGGAGUGACGCACCUUAUGACUUAGUGGCGGACGGGUGAGUAACACGUGAGCAACCUGCCUCUCAGAGUGGAAUAACAGUUGGAAACGGCUGCUAAUACCACAUAACGUUUUUGUGCCGCAUGACACUUCAACCAAAGAUUUAUCGCUGAGAGAUGGGCUCGCGUCCGAUUAGGUAGAUGGUGGGGUAACGGCCUACCAUGCCGACGAUCGGUAGCCGGACUGAGAGGUUGAUCGGCCACAUUGGGACUGAGACACGGCCCAGACUCCUACGGGAGGCAGCAGUGGGGGAUAUUGCACAAUGGGCGCAAGCCCUGAUGCAGCAACGCCGCGUGCGGGAAGACGGCCUUCGGGUUGUAAACCGCUGUCCUUGGGGAAGAAACAAAUGACGGUACCCAAGAAGGAAGCCACGGCUAACUACGUGCCAGCCGCCGC